UGGGGAAUAUUGCACAAUGGGCGCAAGCCUGAUGCAGCGACGCCGCGUGGGGGAUGACGGCCUUCGGGUUGUAAACCUCUUUCACCAUCGGCGAAGCCCAUGAUUUUUGUUGUGGGUGACGGUAGGUGGAGAAGAAGCACCGGCCAACUACGUGCCAGCAGCCGCGGUAAUACGUAGGGUGCGAGCGUUGUCCGGAAUUACUGGGCGUAAAGAGCUCGUAGGUGGUUUGUCGCGUUGUCCGUGAAAUUCCCUGGCUUAACUGGGGCGUGCGGGCGAUACGGGCAGACUGGAGUACUGCAGGGGAGACUGGGAAUUCCUGGUGUAGCGGUGGAAUGCGCAGAUAUCAGGAGGAACACCGGUGGCGAAGGCGGGUCUCUGGGCAGUAACUGACGCUGAGGAGCGAAAGCGUGGGGAGCGAACAGGAUUAGAUACCCUGGUAGUCCACGCCGUAAACGGUGGGUACUAGGUGUGGGUUUCCUUCCUU
Molecule: ribosomal RNA, 484 nt
Filed under: uncultured bacterium
Lineage: Bacteria
Description: partial 16S ribosomal RNA
Rfam family: Bacterial small subunit ribosomal RNA
Source: RNAcentral